CCUACGGGUGGCAGCAGUGGGGAAUAUUGCACAAUGGGGGAAACCCUGAUGCAGCGACGCCGCGUGAGUGAGGAAGUAUUUCGGUAUGUAAAGCUCUAUCAGCAGGGACGAAAAAAGACGGUACCUGACUAAGAAGCCCCGGCUAACUACGUGCCAGCAGCCGCGGUAAUACGUAGGGGGCAAGCGUUAUCCGGAUUUACUGGGUGUAAAGGGGGCGUAGACGGCAAGGCAAGCCAGAAGUGAAAGGGCAGGGCUCAACCCUGGAAAUGCUUUUGGAACUGUGCUGCUGGAGUGCAGGAGAGGUAAGUGGAAUUCCUGGUGUAGCGGUGAAAUGCGUAGAUAUUAGGAGGAACACCAGUGGCGAAGGCGGCUUACUGGACUGUAACUGACGUUGAGGCUCGAAAGCGUGGGGAGCAAACAGGAUUAGAUACCCUUGUAGUC
Molecule: ribosomal RNA, 441 nt
Filed under: uncultured bacterium
Lineage: Bacteria
Description: partial 16S ribosomal RNA
Rfam family: Bacterial small subunit ribosomal RNA
Source: RNAcentral